GGGCUCGUAGCUCAGUUGGUAGAGCGCGUCAUUUGCAAUGACGAGGUCUGGGGUUCGAUCCCCCACGAGUCCA
RNAcentral lists this transfer RNA (73 nucleotides) under Candidatus Collierbacteria bacterium CG10_big_fil_rev_8_21_14_0_10_44_9. Its description in RNAcentral is "tRNA-Ala". It matches the Rfam family "tRNA". From Rfam's summary of the family: Transfer RNA (tRNA) molecules are approximately 80 nucleotides in length. Lineage: Bacteria; Candidatus Collieribacteriota. The record is from RNAcentral.